Molecule: long non-coding RNA, 366 nt
Organism: Helianthus annuus (common sunflower)
Lineage: Eukaryota; Viridiplantae; Streptophyta; Magnoliopsida; Asterales; Asteraceae
Exons: 3
Source: RefSeq, a predicted model, not a curated record
UGUCUCCCACACAGUUCACGAACAGACAGGCAGAAGAAAAGAAUGAAAGGCCAAGGUGGCUGGGUUCAGGUUGGAACUGUCGUGAGUAUUGUCAGUCGAUACUCGAUUGCAGCCUUGCACAGAAGCCUAUCAUCGAUUGCAGGUUAGAGACUUACAGACAGAUGACUCUGGAUUAGCUUCAUAUGUUGCAGGACAAGUUGACAGGAUAUGCAGUGGCUCAAAUCAAUAACCCCGAUACCGGAUAUUGUGGCAGACGUGGAUUCUCCGUUCUCGGAACUCAGUGGCACAGGUUAGAUACCUGAUAUUUUUCUGAAUCAAGUUGUUUUUAGUCACAAGAAAGAUUAAACGGUUUAGCUAUUAUGUCAA